This 97-nucleotide transfer RNA is filed under the name Jaapia argillacea MUCL 33604. RNAcentral's name for it is "tRNA-Ser". It matches the Rfam family "tRNA". Rfam says of the family: Transfer RNA (tRNA) molecules are approximately 80 nucleotides in length. Their secondary structure includes four short double-helical elements and three loops (D, anti-codon, and T loops). Further hydrogen bonds mediate the characteristic L-shaped molecular structure. tRNAs have two regions of fundamental functional importance: the anti-codon, which is responsible for specific mRNA codon recognition, and the 3' end, to which the tRNAs corresponding amino acid is attached (by aminoacyl-tRNA synthetases). tRNAs cope with the degeneracy of the genetic code in two manners: having more than one tRNA (with a specific anti-codon) for a particular amino acid; and 'wobble' base-pairing, i.e. permitting non-standard base-pairing at the 3rd anti-codon position. Lineage: Eukaryota; Fungi; Basidiomycota; Agaricomycetes; Jaapiales; Jaapiaceae. The record is from RNAcentral.
GUCACUUUGCCGGAGUGGUUAACGGGAUCGCCUGCUACUUCUGGUAGUCGAUAGCGGUUGGGCUUUGCCCGCGUGUGUUCGAAUCGCACAGGUGACG